AACAAAUCGGUUGGUAUGCGGCCUUGGUGCUUGGGGCGUAUAGCGUACUAAUGUUUACAUCGAAUUGUUGUCACUCGUAGGUAUUUGGCCUUCCCUGCGUACAAUACAAUGUUGAUAUUUGCGUUCAACCUGCCUUCAGUCGUACGGCGAAACUCGAAUGGGAAAGUUGAAGCUCCGUAUAUCAUCGGAUUAUACCUUGAGAAAUUCUUUAUUAUAAUUAGCUAUUAAUUCAUAAGUGUGUCGAAACGAUCGAUAUUAAUUACGCGAGUGAUGAGUGUCAUUAUUAUGUGCAAAGACGAAGCAGUAAAGGAUAAAACAUAAAGUGGAAAAGAAGCCCCAGAGAGACAUCGAGCGACUGCGGAGCAAUUUUCAGACGAAUACCACAAGUAUUCCGCAAAAGCGUCACGUGGCGCGAAGUGCACCGCGAAGUGUGACAAUUUCGAUAAAUCGUCUUGAGAACGGCGAGUCAACGGGCGAGCUCAGGCCCGGUUAAAAGCACGACGGAGAGGGUGGAAAAAGGUCGUUGCGUGAUUCAAGGAGCGCCGGGACAGCGAUGGAAACGGAAAAAGGGAGAAGGGGGGCAGACGAUAGAAACGGCAGAGGGGAUGACUUUUGAAGGAAGGAGGGAGACGAAGGGCCUCGUGCGUUUUCGAUGUACAAAAAGUAAUUACGGGAUGGUUUCCGGUAAUCAUAUCUAGAGCGCAUUGAAUGAGCGCAUUGUUCGGGCACCCCUUCAGCGAUAUGCACUUGUACGCGGCGCCCCUGCCUCUCCUCUUCGCCCUCGACUCAUCAUCAGGACUUCCACCCUAUCGACGUAUACUCACGACGACCACACCGCAUUUGAACGUGGAGGAUAUCGGACCCGGGCGGCUCGGAGAAACUAUGUACAGACGACGCAUUGCAGGAGGAAGACGAUGGAACGGAAGGAAGCGAGAUAGAGCGUGGAAGUGCGAGCGAGAUCCGAGAAGAGAGCAAAGAGCAUGACAAGAGCGAGGCUGUAGGGGCGCAGGGCUGCGACCCGACUGACCCUACCUCGAUGCCCCGGCUGCCUUCGGAGCCCUCUCUAGCCCUACUCCGCGCACCCUUACCCUCACCCUUAGCCUCCGGGGGUGGAUGGAAGGCGGGCCGGCCCAUUUUUCGCGCCCCACUUGACUCCACGUCCUCAUUGGCUGCCGCCCUCUCGCUCUGACCUCUCUUCCCUUGGCUGCUUCUGACACCGACAGGGUGGACGGCCGCGUUCCUUCCACCUGGCUCCUUUUUUCAGAGAAGAAAAGCAGAAGAGACGCCCGAAGAUUCGGAUGAAAUGUUAAUCGCUUGUCUAUAGAUCGUCGCUCGUCGUCUACCAGCCAGCUAAUAACGGAUUUUCACAAAGCAAUUUUAUGAUGGUGUGGAAAAAAUACCCUUUUUUGUGAAAAAAAUGAAGAAAAAUGUAUAUCAAAAAAUGGAAAAGCUGCUAGUAGUUACAUUAAACUUGUCAUUUGCACUGCAGCGAUAUUUAUGUGAACAACGAUUGGAGCAACGAUAAACGGAAAUAAGACGCAGAUGAAUUAAGUUGAAACAAAAAGUGAUAGAAAUCGCGAGAUCAAAACGAGUUCAAGGUUGAGUCUAGUGAAUCGAAUACGCCCCUUCCCGAGAAGACGAAGUUGCUCGACAGGCGCUUAGAGACGGCGAUGACGAUUCGUGGUAGCGCUCGCGGUCGGUUUGAUAAAAAGCGUAGUAAUAUGAUCAGCAGGUUGAAGAAUCUGGAGAGCUCGGUCCACGAGAGAAGAGAUCACGAGGAGAGUGGUGGUGGGAUACGAGGGAGAAGGAGGGGACGAGAGAACGCGAUAAGGAGAACUGCGGACCGCUUGUUCGUCGAGUUCGCGUACAGGAAGAAAAAGAGAGACGGUGAAAGGGGUGAGGAAGGAAGGGCGAAAGAGAAGGAGAGUAGAGGACGAAUAGACUGACGGCAGACGGAUAGAUAGAUGGAGAGCGAUGCGAGGCGUCGGUGCGGUGAGCGAGACGACCUCAAGCGAAGGAGGGAGACUCGCUCAUUUCGCGAGCGCGGGAUCGAGAGAAGAAGGGAGAAGCGACGACUAGAUCGAGGAGUCAAAGUGGGUACGGAACUACUCGGUCGGGCAACGCGUGCUGUUCAACCAGGGUAGGGCAAACCCGUAGCCAAUGAGAGGCCGACCGGGGCGCGCCCGGGACUCGACCCCACCUUCGGUAGCCAUGGAAACUGGCGGAACCCGCGAGAAACCCUCGCGGGUUUGCGAUGGUGGGAGACCCAGGUCGGUGUCAGGGGUCGCCUUAGUCGGCAGUCGGUCUCUGGUCGGCCCCAAGAAUAGUCGUAUCGAGGCGGUAGUCGAGUAUCACCUCUCUUCUUCUUCUUCUCCUUCUCCUCCUACUACUACUACUACAGCACGGGCCGCCGCUCUGCUGCUCCUGCUGCCGUUGCUG
Long non-coding RNA from Formica exsecta, 2439 nucleotides. RefSeq lists it as uncharacterized. The record is from RefSeq and is a predicted model, not a curated record. Lineage: Eukaryota; Metazoa; Arthropoda; Insecta; Hymenoptera; Formicidae. The transcript has 3 exons.